Molecule: ribosomal RNA, 407 nt
Filed under: uncultured bacterium
Lineage: Bacteria
Description: partial 16S ribosomal RNA
Rfam family: Bacterial small subunit ribosomal RNA
Source: RNAcentral
AUUGAACGCUGGCGGCAGGCCUAACACAUGCAAGUCGAGCGGAUCGGCGGCCGGGUGCGUAUUGCCUAGGAAUCUGCCUGGUAGUGGGGGAUAACGUUCGGAAACGGGCGCUAAUACCGCAUACUAUCAGAAUAGCCUAGGUCGGAUUAGCGAGUUGGUGGGGUAAAGGCCUAGCAAGGCGAAGCUCCGUAACUGGUCUGAGAGGAUGAUCAGUCGCACGGGAACUGAGACACGGUCCAGACUCCUACGGGAGGCAGCAGUGGGGAAUAUUGGAAAAUGGGUGAAAGCCUGAUCCAGCCAUGCCGCGUGUGUGAAGAAGGUCUUCGGAUUGUAAAGCACUUUAAGUUGGGAGGCGUUACCAACAGAAUAAGCACCGGCUAACUUCGUGCCAGCCGCCGCGGUAAUAC